AAUCUUCCGCAAUGGACGAAAGUCUGACGGAGCAACGCCGCGUGAACGAUGAAGGUCUUCGGAUCGUAACGCUCUGUUGUUAGGGAAGAACAAGUAUCGGAGUAACUGCCGGUACCUUGACGGUACCUAAUUAGAAAGCCACGGCUAACUACGUGCCAGCAGCCGCGGUAAUACGUAGGUGGCAAGCGUUGUCCGGAAUUAUUGGGCGUAAAGCGCGCGCAGGCGGUCUUUUAAGUCUGAUGUGAAAGCCCACGGCUCAACACUGGAAUUGCAUUUGAAACUGUGUGGCUUGAGUGCAGGAGAGGAAAGUGGAAUUCCUAGUGUAGCGGUGAAAUGCGUAGAGAUUAGGAGGAACACCAGUGGCGAAGGCGACUUUCUGGACUGUAACUGACGCUGAGGUACGAAAGCGUGGGUAGCGAACA
Molecule: ribosomal RNA, 422 nt
Filed under: uncultured bacterium
Lineage: Bacteria
Description: partial 16S ribosomal RNA
Rfam family: Bacterial small subunit ribosomal RNA
Source: RNAcentral